GGGAGGCAGCAGUGGGGAAUUUUGCGCAAUGGGCGAAAGCCUGACGCAGCAACGCCGCGUGAGGGAUGAAGGCCUUCGGGUUGUAAACCUCUUUUCCCAGGGACGAUAAUGACGGUACCUGGGGAAGAAGCCACGGCUAACUACGUGCCAGCAGCCGCGGUAAUACGUAGGUGGCGAGCGUUGUCCGGAUUUACUGGGCGUAAAGAGCACGCAGGCGGUCGUUCAAGUCGAAUGUGAAAGCCCCCGGCUUAACUGGGGAGGGUCAUUCGAUACUGAUCGACUUGAAGGCGGGAGAGGGAAGCGGAAUUCCCGGUGUAGUGGUGAAAUGCGUAGAUAUCGGGAGGAACACCAGUGGCGAAGGCGGCUUCCUGGCCCGUUCUUGACGCUCAUGUGCGAAAGCUAGGGGAGCAAACGGGAUUAGAUACCCCGGU
This 431-nucleotide ribosomal RNA is filed under the name uncultured bacterium. Its description in RNAcentral is "bacterial SSU rRNA". It matches the Rfam family "Bacterial small subunit ribosomal RNA", at positions 343 to 791 of the family's 1533-position model. The record is from RNAcentral.